RNAcentral lists this ribosomal RNA (327 nucleotides) under uncultured eukaryote. Its description in RNAcentral is "partial 18S ribosomal RNA". It matches the Rfam family "Eukaryotic small subunit ribosomal RNA", at positions 1470 to 1796 of the family's 1831-position model. The record is from RNAcentral.
CGCUUAGAUGUUCUGGGCCGCACGCGCGCUACACUGACGAAUGCAACGAGCUUAUAACCUUGGCCGAAAGGUCUGGGUAAUCUCCAAAUUUCGUCGUGAUGGGGAUAGAUUAUUGCAAUUAUUAAUCUUCAACGAGGAAUGCCUAGUAAGCGCAAGUCAUCAGCUUGCGUUGAUUACGUCCCUGCCCUUUGUACACACCGCCCGUCGCUCCUACCGAUUGAAUGGUCCGGUGAAGCGUUCGGACCGUGGCCUUUGGACGGUUCGCCGUCUGUUGGCUGCGGGAAGUUCGUUAAACCUUAUCAUUUAGAGGAAGGAGAAGUCGUAACA